Molecule: ribosomal RNA, 497 nt
Filed under: uncultured bacterium
Lineage: Bacteria
Description: partial 16S ribosomal RNA
Rfam family: Bacterial small subunit ribosomal RNA
Source: RNAcentral
GAUGAACGCUGGCGGCGUGCCUAAUACAUGCAAGUCGAGCGAACGGACGAGAAGCUUGCUUCUCUGAUGUUAGCGGCGGACGGGUGAGUAACACGUGGAUAACCUACCUAUAAGACUGGGAUAACUUCGGGAAACCGUAGCUAAUACCGGAUAAUAUUUUGAACCGCAUGGUUCAAAAGUGAAAGACGGUCUUGCUGUCACUUAUAGAUGGAUCCGGGCUGCAUUAGCUAGUUGGUAAGGUAACGGCUUACCAAGGCAACGAUGCAUAGCCGACCUGAGAGGGUGAUCAGCCACACUGGAACUGAGACACGGUCCAGACUCCUACGGGAGGCAGCAGUAGGGAAUCUUCGGCAAUGGGCGAAAGCCUGACGGAGCAACGCCGCGUGAGUGAUGAAGGUCUUCGGAUCGUAAAACUCUGUUAUUAGGGAAGAACAUAUGUGUAAGUAACUGUGCACAUCUUGACGGUACCUAAUCAGAAAGCCACGGCUAACUACGUG